RNAcentral lists this ribosomal RNA (590 nucleotides) under Arachnopeziza delicatula. RNAcentral describes it as "eukaryotic LSU rRNA". It matches the Rfam family "Eukaryotic large subunit ribosomal RNA", at positions 49 to 656 of the family's 3401-position model. Lineage: Eukaryota; Fungi; Ascomycota; Leotiomycetes; Helotiales; Arachnopezizaceae. The record is from RNAcentral.
AGCGGAGGAAAAGAAACCAACAGGGAUUACCUCAGUAACGGCGAGUGAAGCGGUAACAGCUCAAAUUUGAAAUCUGGCUCUCGGGCCCGAGUUGUAAUUUGUAGAAGAUGCUUUGGGUGUGGCUCCGGUCUAAGUUCCUUGGAACAGGACGUCAUAGAGGGUGAGAAUCCCGUACGUGACUGGCGGCCUUCGCUCGUGUAAAGCUCUUUCGACGAGUCGAGUUGUUUGGGAAUGCAGCUCAAAAUGGGUGGUAUAUUUCAUCUAAAGCUAAAUAUUGGCCAGAGACCGAUAGCGCACAAGUAGAGUGAUCGAAAGAUGAAAAGCACUUUGGAAAGAGAGUUAAACAGUACGUGAAAUUGUUGAAAGGGAAGCGCUUGCAACCAGACUUGCAGGCUGUUGAUCAUCCAGGGUUCUCCCCGGUGCACUCGGCAGUUUUCAGGCCAGCAUCGGUUUGGGUGGUGGGAUAAAGGCCUUGGGAAUGUGGCUCUCUUCGGGGAGUGUUAUAGCCCAAGGUGCAAUGCCGCCUACCUAGACCGAGGACCGCGCUUCGGCUAGGAUGCUGGCGUAAUGGUUGUAAGCGACCCGUCUUG